RNAcentral lists this ribosomal RNA (686 nucleotides) under Staphylococcus epidermidis. Its description in RNAcentral is "bacterial SSU rRNA". It matches the Rfam family "Bacterial small subunit ribosomal RNA", at positions 23 to 688 of the family's 1533-position model. The record is from RNAcentral. Lineage: Bacteria; Bacillati; Bacillota; Bacilli; Caryophanales; Staphylococcaceae.
UGGGGGAUAAAGGCCGCCAUGGCCCUAAUACAUUGCAAGUCGAGCGAACAGACGAGGAGCUUGCUCCUCUUGACGUUAGCGGCGGACGGGUGAGUAACACGUGGAUAACCUACCUAUAAGACUGGGAUAACUUCGGGAAACCGGAGCUAAUACCGGAUAAUAUAUUGAACCGCAUGGUUCAAUAGUGAAAGACGGUUUUGCUGUCACUUAUAGAUGGAUCCGGCCGCAUUAGCUAGUUGGUAAGGUAACGGCUUACCAAGGCAACGAUGCGUAGCCGACCUGAGAGGGUGAUCGGCCACACUGGAACUGAGACACGGUCCAGACUCCUACGGGAGGCAGCAGUAGGGAAUCUUCCGCAAUGGGCGAAAGCCUGACGGAGCAACGCCGCGUGAGUGAUGAAGGUCUUCGGAUCGUAAAACUCUGUUAUUAGGGAAGAACAAAUGUGUAAGUAACUAUGCACGUCUUGACGGUACCUAAUCAGAAAGCCACGGCUAACUACGUGCCAGCAGCCGCGGUAAUACGUAGGUGGCAAGCGUUAUCCGGAAUUAUUGGGCGUAAAGCGCGCGUAGGCGGUUUUUUAAGUCUGAUGUGAAAGCCCACGGCUCAACCGUGGAGGGUCAUUGGAAACUGGAAAACUUUGAGUGCAGAAGAGGAAAGUGGAAUUCCCAUGUGUAGCGAUUGAAAUG